GUGGAGUGGGCGGGGCCUGCUUACUUCACUUCCUGCCAGGCGACGCUCUCAGCCUCCUCAUCUCUGAGCCCAGAGACGGGUGGCACUAUGGCCAGAARGAACGGACGGGACGGAAAGGCUGGUUCCCUUUCUCCUACACUCAGCCCUACCCCAACACCUUGGAUCCCCUCGACAGCAGGUCUGUCACCAUAGAAACAAGAAACUGUUAUGAUAUUGUCAUUUCAUUCCUCAAAAUGUUAUUGUCUUAAAUGGAAGUCAACUUUGUUAUGGUUAUGAUUAAAUCUUGACACUGUAACUCUGGAAAUACAUCCGCUAUGCUGUCCACCCUUCCCUGUAUUUACUCUGAUCUAACAGCUUAGCUGCAGCGUUGUCAACAACAUUAUUGUCUGUCAGUACGAUAGCGAUGUCUACAAACUGGCAGUGAUGAUUUUGGCUUAUUCACAGGAAGCUGAGAGAGGUCACUGACACUUUGACACAGAUAUGCUGUUUUUUUCUCUAAGUGUCAUUAUCAUUUUGAUGUGUCCAUGCCAAGCAAAGAGACCAGGCCUUUAGAGAGGAAUAAAAAUGAAUGACCCUCAUUCUUUCCAUCUGCCUAAGCUCUGUCCUAAUCUUCUACCACCUUGUAGGUCCCCUUUACUCUCCAAGAUCAACAGUACAGUUGAUGAGUUAGCAUGACCACUUUCCUCCAUUUAUCCUCAGUCUGAAAUGUCAGAACAAUAUGCCUGCUAUUGUCAUUAAGGAUAUUGAGUUGAGCAAGACAKUUGGAAAAUGAACCAUUUACCAKUGGUUUCUCUCCAGKUCCRCGCUCCUCUCUAAGGUCAACAGRACCKGUACGGGUCAGUUAGARAAGCUGGUCUCCCCUGGRCUGCCUGCCCUGACCCCUGAGUCCGAGGAGGAGCGCUCYUUCCCCCCUCAGAGGGUCAGCACCUUCCGCCCGCGCCCAUACAGCAUGGCCGACUCCAACCAGGUCAGCCUGAGGCCGAAGGUCAGAGGUGAAGGGGUWGAGUGGGCAGGGCCCRCUGACCGACCGGRUCUGUCAAUGCUGAUGCAAGAGGUAUAGAUGGCUUAUAAUGACAGAAUAUAAUGUAGAUAUGAUAUGUAAUGGGUUAAUAACACUAGGKUCUUCAUCGCUUUUACUACAGCUCUCCUCAGACUURGCCUCUCCUCCACCCUCCCCAACCUGGACCAACCCAUUUGCCCAUGUCCGGCUCAGAAAGACGGUGACCAACGAUCGCUCUGCACCCAUCAUCGAAUAGGACAUGGUCUCCUUGAACAGGCAWCCAAUGGAGAGGUGUUAAUAGGAAACAUUCAUGUGUUUUGAAUUUGUUUUCAGAGUCCAGUAACUGUGUUGGUUGAGUUCUCAACUGUUGAGCCUUAAGAGAAAGCCUUAAGUAAACCUUUCUGUUCAUGUUGGUUAUUUACAAGUGCUUAUUAGAUGUGUAUUAAUCAGGCCUAAGUCAAAAUACAGACACUUAUGUGGUGUUAUUUUGAAGAUAGAAGAAUCAAAGCUGACAUUUGAGUGACAUAACAGUGAUUGUCAAAGACCCGUUGGACAAAAUGAGAUCUUGAAUAAAAAUCCACCAUAGUAUUUGAGAAUUAUAGAGUAAAAAGAUGAGUGUGGGAGUUGGAAUUUAAAAAGCUCUGUGAUGUUAGUAAAAACACAAACAGAUGGCGGCCAUUUUGUCGGCAUGUCCAACAUUAACAUUUGAGCCCUGGGCAUUACUGAUAAUUMUAUAAUGUUCUUUUCAUUUUACAACACUUUUCUAGAAGUAACCUUGAUAGAAAAUGUUUAUUYUGUUUUUUUGUCUGUACCCAUUCAGGGACUGGUUCCUGGUAGCAGCCUGUAGUCGGGUAAUAGUUUAAUGAAUUAUAGCYUACUUUACUUGUACCAUUAGGAAUUGUCUUAAAGGACAGGCUCCUGUUUUAUCAGUAUUCUCAUUGAGGAGGAUUUUUGAGAAGAGAGUUAUGCAGAGAUAUGUGUGUAUGAUCCAGGAAAAUCCAAACAUGUUGAAGAAUUGUCAUUAUUUUUUUUCCAUUGUUGGGAUUAGCUAGGCAGAUGUAUUUUCACGAUAGAUGCAGACCUACCAAUCACUUGUUGAUUUAUCACAUUUGUACAACUUAAUUUACAUGUUCUCUGAAUGAAGAUUUAAAGAAAAGUGUAUUGAUGUUGCUUACUGAUGUCAUCAGCACAAUGCUGGGUAGGAAAUAGUUCAAGUUUAAACACCAAUAUUUUUUAAAUAAUAAUUUGUUUUAAUGUGAGGUAGGAUUUGUAUAAGGAAUUAUAUUUUUAAGAUCAACUGAUCAAUUUACAAAGGCAAUUGAUAUGAUAUGUUAUACACAGAAAUAUGUUGCAUUGCAAAGCUAUUGCUGCUAGUUUGGGAUGUGUAGAUUGUAUUGAACGUUUACCUUCAAGAGUCUCUGUUAUCUACAGAAACGUAUUAAUAGAAGUAAGAAGGAGCAACAGUACAGAUGUAGGAUCUUUAUUUGAUCACUCUUUUGUUGGUGAGAAUGUUCCUGCAUWGCAGGAAAUGCAAACUUGUAGUGUAUUUUAGUUUUAAAAAGGCUUCUAAAGUGUGUCUAUCAACCRCUACAAAAAUMUAGAUUAAUUCACAUUUCUUGUUGCUGCAGGAUUAUUUUCCUGCAACUGGCUAAAAUGAAGAUCUUACAUCUGUAACAAUGCAUCCCUGUGGGGUGAACUGUACUUCUAUUUGUAUUGGACAGGUAGAAGAGGAAAGAAACAGUGGAGGGUUUGGAGGACGGGUUUUCCUGGAAAGUAGGUUUGAGAAAUUGGCAUUGUGUUGAGGGAUAAAUGUAUAAGAAAAGAGAUGGAUUCAGRUCGUUUGUUUUUACUAGUGUCUUCUCGAUUGAUUUAGAAUUCGACUCCAACAGAUUGUUCARWUCUAGCAGAUUUUAGCUGCARGUUUACCAAUUGCAAACCGUACAGAACCUUAUUUAAAGGGUGAAGACUGAUUGUGUUUAUGAAGURUAACUUUGAAAGUGUUGAGGAAAGUAUUUGGAAAGUGGAACAGUGUGUGAGCAAGUGUCAAUGGUAAACUAGAUGUAGAAAGUAGUAUUURUCUCUCGCUUUCUCCAUGUCUGGUAUCUCUCUAGUCUGUCAUCUGGUAUCUCGCUAGUGUCUCUGUCAUCUAGAAAACUGCAGUUGAGAGAUUCAGGGUGGAAAUAUGUGGCUAGGAAAGUUGAGUUUCUCUGUAUGAUCWUUAUUCUGAUUUCCGGACCUUACAGUGUAUAGUUCCUUCUCUCCUCAUGUUUCUGUAUCGUAUUAAGUUGCAUCUCUAACCUAGCCUGUGAAAUGAUUGACUUUCUUGCUAUGGUAAUUCUAAGACUCAAUAAAUAACAUUGCUGUUGAUUUAAAUACUGAGUAUAMUGAAAUCACAUAGUUGAAGUUUACUUAUGUUUGUACAAAUUGCAACAACAAAAAAAUGUUUUUGAUCUUGUUUAAUUUUGUUUUUCCUUAACCUUGCACCUUUUCUUUUCACCAUCCUAACCUUCUUCAAAAUAUGACCUUUCAAUGUCAAUCUAGCUAUAUGAGAAUGGGAUCCAGUUGUAAAAGGCAAAAGAAAAAUGAUGCUGUGGUGACUAUUCAGGAUCUCAUAUUCAGGAUGCCUCUGUUAGUAGGAUUGUCUUAAAUACGUGUUUAAGAAUGAAACAAUUGCCUCUGCCCCUACUUUUAUUUCAGUCUUUUAAUUUGUUUUGUUAUAUUCUUUUUUUGUUACUUCAUCUGUAGCUUUUUUCUCUUUAAAACAGCAUUGCCUUUCUGAGACACACAACAAUCAUGGUCACAGUAUAAAACCUUARAGACAUUCCUGAUACCACUGUUAUUGUAUUUCUUUCCAAUGAAUACUUCAAUAAAUAUGUUAAUCACUAUA
Salvelinus sp. IW2-2015 is the source of this 3887-nucleotide non-coding RNA. The record is from RefSeq and is a predicted model, not a curated record. Lineage: Eukaryota; Metazoa; Chordata; Actinopteri; Salmoniformes; Salmonidae.